AGUGCACUUUCGGAGUGCGGUCCGGUAAGUUGCCGAGGCUUAUUGUGAGCGAAAGAGGAAUCGAGGUUGAUCCUGCUAGAAAAAAAAAAGAUAUAAAAAAAGGAAAAAGUAAUGCAAGAAAUGCCUGAACCGAAAACAAAAAGAGAGAUCAAACGGUCAGGUGGAUAAUGGUUGCCCAGGGGCAUUGGGAAAUAAAUGAAUAAGUUGCAGGAGCCUCCGAUUCUG
This 225-nucleotide long non-coding RNA is filed under the name Lathyrus oleraceus (garden pea). Its description in RNAcentral is "Pisum sativum (pea) long non-coding RNA (PSAT_LNC001938)". The record is from RNAcentral. Lineage: Eukaryota; Viridiplantae; Streptophyta; Magnoliopsida; Fabales; Fabaceae.